Molecule: transfer RNA, 64 nt
Filed under: Longzhouacris mirabilis
Lineage: Eukaryota; Metazoa; Arthropoda; Insecta; Orthoptera; Acrididae
Description: tRNA-Cys
Source: RNAcentral
GGCUUUAUAUUCAAUUAUGAUUUUAGACUGCAAUUCUAGAGGUGUAAAACUGUUACUAAGGCCU